UAGACCGCCUGGGGAGUACGGCCGCAAGGUUAAAACUCAAAUGAAUUGACGGGGGCCCGCACAAGCGGUGGAGCAUGUGGUUUAAUUCGAUGCAACGCGAAGAACCUUACCUGGUCUUGACAUCCACAGAAGAAUCCAGAGAUGGAUUUGUGCCUUCGGGAACUGUGAGACAGGUGCUGCAUGGCUGUCGUCAGCUCGUGUUGUGAAAUGUUGGGUUAAGUCCCGCAACGAGCGCAACCCUUAUCCUUUGUUGCCAGCGAUUAGGUCGGGAACUCAAAGGAGACUGCCAGUGAUAAACUGGAGGAAGGUGGGGAUGACGUCAAGUCAUCAUGGCCCUUACGACCAGGGCUACACACGUGCUACAAUGGCGCAUACAAAGAGAAGCGACCUCGC
This 393-nucleotide ribosomal RNA is filed under the name Salmonella enterica subsp. enterica serovar Agona. RNAcentral describes it as "bacterial SSU rRNA". It matches the Rfam family "Bacterial small subunit ribosomal RNA", at positions 865 to 1258 of the family's 1533-position model. Lineage: Bacteria; Pseudomonadati; Pseudomonadota; Gammaproteobacteria; Enterobacterales; Enterobacteriaceae. The record is from RNAcentral. RNAcentral also lists the same sequence under 3 other names.